RNAcentral lists this unclassified non-coding RNA (336 nucleotides) under soil metagenome. RNAcentral describes it as "partial contains 5.8S ribosomal RNA, internal transcribed spacer 2, and large subunit ribosomal RNA". The stretch from base 1 to 120 matches the Rfam family "5.8S ribosomal RNA", at positions 35 to 154 of the family's 154-position model. The record is from RNAcentral.
GAUGAAGAACGUAGCGAAAUGCGAUAAGUAAUGUGAAUUGCAGAAUUCCGUGAAUCAUCGAAUCUUUGAACGCACAUUGCGCCCCCUGGUAUUCCGGGGGGCAUGCCUGUCCGAGCGUCAUUGCAACCUUCAAGCGCGGCUUGUGUGUUGGGUCUCGUCCCCCGUGGACGGGCCCGAAAGGCAGUGGCGGCGUCCCGACAUGGUGCCCGAGCGUUUGGGAAUCCUCUUCCGCUCGAAUCGGCCCAUGCGGCGCUGGUCGUAACCAAAUUUUUUACCGGUUGACCUCGGAUCAGGUAGGGAUACCCGCUGAACUUAAGCAUAUCAAUAAGCGGAGGA